This 305-nucleotide ribosomal RNA is filed under the name uncultured bacterium. RNAcentral describes it as "bacterial SSU rRNA". It matches the Rfam family "Bacterial small subunit ribosomal RNA", at positions 334 to 655 of the family's 1533-position model. The record is from RNAcentral.
UGUACCUACGGGGGGCAGCAGUCGGGAAUAUUGCACAAUGGAGGAAACUCUGAUGCAGUGACGCCGCGUGCAGGAAGAAGGUUUUCGGAUUGUAAACUGCUUUAGAUAGGGAAGAAAAAAGACAGUACCUAUAGAAUAAGCUCCGGCUAACUACGUGCCAGCAGCCGCGGUAAUACGUAGGGAGCAAGCGUUAUCCGGAUUUAUUGGGUGUAAAGGGUGCGUAGACGGCCUUUUAAGUCAGCGGUGAAAGUCUGUGGCUCAACCAUAGAAUUGCCGUUGAAACUGGGGGGCUUGAGUAUGUUUGA